Molecule: ribosomal RNA, 513 nt
Filed under: uncultured bacterium
Lineage: Bacteria
Description: partial 16S ribosomal RNA
Rfam family: Bacterial small subunit ribosomal RNA
Source: RNAcentral
GACGAACGCUGGCGGCAUGCCUAAUACAUGCAAGUCGAGCGAACAGAUGAAGUGCUUGCACUUCUGACGUUAGCGGCGAACGGGUGAGUAACACGUAAGGAAUCUACCUAUAAGCGGGGGAUAACAUUCGGAAACGGGUGCUAAUACCGCAUAAUAUCUUCUUCCGCAUGGAAGAAGAUUGAAAGACGGCUCUGCUGUCACUUAUAGAUGACCUUGCGGUGGAUUAGUUAGUUGGUGGGGUAACGGCCUACCAAGACGAUGAUGCAUAGCCGACCGGAGAGGGUGAUCGGCCACAUUGGGGCUAGGCCACGGCCCAAACUCCUACGUGAGGCAGCAGUAGGGAAUCUUCCGCAAUGGGCGAAAGCCUGACGGAGCAAUGCCGCGUGAGUGAAGAAGGCCUUCGGGUCGUAAAACUCUGUUAUAAGAGAAGAACAAAUUGUAGAGUAACUGCUACAGUCUUGACGGUAUCUUAUCAGAAAGCCACGGCUAACUACGUGCCAGCCGCCGCAGUAA